UGUAUAGGUAUGUGUUCUGUUUUGUGUGUGUGUGUGUGUGUUCAUACAGGUGGUACUGAUCAUCCAUGAUCUCCGUUCAUCUUGGCUCCACCCACUCUCGUUACCCGGUUCAGCUGUUUCCACUCAUCUCCAAUCCCAUCAUGCCCUUCUGGGGAUGAGGAGUAGUUUAGCCCUGCUCCGGAGUUUACAUACCUGCACGUAGGGUUACUCUCCUGUCUAACAACACUAGCUACACCUGGCUGGGCCACCUACUG
This is a long non-coding RNA of Gasterosteus aculeatus aculeatus (three-spined stickleback), 254 nucleotides long. The record is from Ensembl. Lineage: Eukaryota; Metazoa; Chordata; Actinopteri; Perciformes; Gasterosteidae.